UACGUAGGGUGCGAGCGUUGUCCGGAAUUAUUGGGCGUAAAGAGCUCGUAGGCGGUUCGUCGCGUCGAAUGUGAAAACCCGGGGCUCAACUCCGGGCCUGCAUUCGAUACGGGCGGACUAGAGUUCGGUAGGGGAGACUGGAAUUCCUGGUGUAGCGGUGAAAUGCGCAGAUAUCAGGAGGAACACCCAUGGCGAAGGCAGCUUACUGGGCAUUAUCUGACGCUGAGACGCGAAAGCGUGGGUAGCAAACAGG
Molecule: ribosomal RNA, 253 nt
Filed under: uncultured bacterium
Lineage: Bacteria
Description: partial 16S ribosomal RNA
Rfam family: Bacterial small subunit ribosomal RNA
Source: RNAcentral